UACGGAGGAUCCAAGCGUUAUCCGGAUUCAUUGGGUUUAAAGGGUGCGCAGGCGGAGAGAUAAGUCAGUGGUGAAAAACUGCCGCUCAACGGUAGUCUUGCCAUUGAUACUGUCUUUCUUGAGUAUGGAUGAGGUAGGCGGAAUGUGCAGUGUAGCGGUGAAAUGCAUAGAUAUUGCACGGAACACCAAUUGCGAAGGCAGCUUACUGGACCAUUACUGACGCUCAGGCACGAAAGCGUGGGGAUCAAA
RNAcentral lists this ribosomal RNA (249 nucleotides) under uncultured prokaryote. Its description in RNAcentral is "partial 16S ribosomal RNA". It matches the Rfam family "Bacterial small subunit ribosomal RNA", at positions 524 to 772 of the family's 1533-position model. The record is from RNAcentral.